AUUGAACGCUGGCGGCAUGCCUUACACAUGCAAGUCGAACGGUAACAGGUCUUCGGACGCUGACGAGUGGCGAACGGGUGAGUAAUACAUCGGAACGUGCCCAGUCGUGGGGGAUAACUACUCGAAAGAGUAGCUAAUACCGCAUACGAUCUGAGGAUGAAAGCGGGGGACCUUCGGGCCUCGCGCGAUUGGAGCGACCGAUGGCAGAUUAGGUAGUUGGUGGGAUAAAAGCUUACCAAGCCGACGAUCUGCAGCUGGUCUGAGAGGACGACCAGCCACACUGGGACUGAGACACGGCCCAGACUCCUACGGGAGGCAGCAGUGGGGAGUUUUGGACAAUGGGCGAAAGCCUGAUCCAGCAAUGCCGCGUGCAGGAUGAAGGCCUUCGGGUUGUAAACUGCUUUUGUACGGAACGAAAAAGCUCCUUCUAAUACAGGGGGCCCAUGACGGUACCGUAAGAAUAAGCACCGGCUAACUACGUGCCAGCCGCCGCGGUAA
RNAcentral lists this ribosomal RNA (498 nucleotides) under uncultured bacterium. RNAcentral's name for it is "partial 16S ribosomal RNA". It matches the Rfam family "Bacterial small subunit ribosomal RNA", at positions 30 to 523 of the family's 1533-position model. The record is from RNAcentral.